This 495-nucleotide ribosomal RNA is filed under the name uncultured bacterium. RNAcentral's name for it is "partial 16S ribosomal RNA". It matches the Rfam family "Bacterial small subunit ribosomal RNA", at positions 28 to 507 of the family's 1533-position model. The record is from RNAcentral.
GACGAACGCUGGCGGCGUGCCUAAUACAUGCAAGUAGAACGCUGAAGGAGGAGCUUGCUUCUCUGGAUGAGUUGCGAACGGGUGAGUAACGCGUAGGUAACCUGCCUGGUAGCGGGGGAUAACUAUUGGAAACGAUAGCUAAUACCGCAUCAUAGCAGUUGUUGCAUGACAACUGUUUGAAAGGUGCAAUUGCACCACUACCAGAUGGACCUGCGUUGUAUUAGCUAGUUGGUGGGGUAACGGCUCACCAAGGCGACGAUACAUAGCCGACCUGGGAGGGUGAACGGCCACACUGGGACUGAGACACAGCCCAGGCUCCUACGGGAGGCAGCAGGAGGGGAUCUUCGGCAAUGGACGGAAGUCUGACCGAGCAACGCCGCGUGAGAGAAGAAGGUUUUCGGAUCGUAAAGCUAUGUUGUGAGAGAAGAACGAGUGUGAGGGUAGAAAGUUCACACUGUGACGGUAUCUUACCAGAAAGGGACGGCUAACUACGUG